This 460-nucleotide ribosomal RNA is filed under the name uncultured bacterium. Its description in RNAcentral is "partial 16S ribosomal RNA". It matches the Rfam family "Bacterial small subunit ribosomal RNA", at positions 338 to 795 of the family's 1533-position model. The record is from RNAcentral.
CCUACGGGUGACAGCAGUGAGGAAUAUAGGUCAAUGGACGAGAGUCUGAACCAGCCAAGUAGCGUGAAGGAUGACUGCCCUAUGGGUUGUAAACUUCUUUUAUAAAGGAAUAAAACGAGGCACGUGUGCCUUUUUGCAUGUACUUUAUGAAUAAGGAUCGGCUAACCCCGUUCCAGCAGCCGCGGUAAUACUGAGGAUCCGAGCGUUAUACGGAUUUAUUGGGUUUAAGGGGAGCGUAGAUGGGUUGUUAAGUCAGUUGUGAAAGUUUGCGGCUCAACCGUAAAAUUGCAAUUGAUACGGGCAGUGUUGAGUACAGUUGAGGUAGGCGAAAUUCGUGGUGGAGCGGUGAAAUGCUUAGAUAUCACGAAGAACCCCGAUUGAGAAGGCAGUUUACUAAACUGUGACUGACAUUGAUGCUCGAAAGUGUGGGUAUCAAACAGGAUUAGAUACCCUUGUAGUC